UUUCCGGUUGAUCCUGCCGGACCUGACUGCUAUCGGAUUGAUACUAAGCCAUGCGAGUCAUUGUAGCAAUACAAGGCAGACGGCUCAGUAACGCGUAGUCAAUCUACCCUAUGGACGGGGAUAACCUCGGGAAACUGAGAAUAAUACCCGACAGAACAUUAUGCCUGGAAUGGCUUAUGUUUUAAAUGAUUUAUCGCCGUAGGAUGGGACUGCGGCCUAUCAGUUUGUUGGUGAGGUAAUGGCCCACCAAGACUAUUACAGGUACGGGCUCCGAGAGGAGUGGCCCGGAGAUGGGUACUGAGACACGGACCCAGGCCCUAUGGGGCGCAGCAUGCGAGAAAACUUCGCAAUGUGCGAAAGCACAACAAGGUUAAUCCGAGUGGUUUCUGCUAAAGAAACCUUUUGUUAGUCCUAGAAACACUGACGAAUAAGGCGUGGGCAAGUUUUGGUGUCAGCCGCCGCGGUAAAACCAGCACCUCAAGUGGUCAGGAUGAUUAUUGGGCCUAAAGCAUCCGUAGCUUGCUUUGUAAGUUCUCGGUUAAAUGCAUGCGCUUAACGUAUGGGCUGCCGGUAAUACUGCAAAACUAGGGAGUGGGAGAGGUAGACGGUACUCGGUAGGAAGGGGUAAAAUCCUCUGAUCUAUUGAUGACCACCUGUGGCGAAGGCGGUUUACCAGAACACGUCCGACGGUGAGGGAAGAAAGCUGGGGGAGCAAACCGGAUUAGAUACCCGGGUAGUCCCAGCUGUAAACUAUGCAAACUCAGUGAUGCAUUGGCUUGUGGCCAAUGCAGUGCUGCAGGGAAGCCGUUAAGUUUGCCGCCUGGGAAGUACGUACGCAAGUAUGAAACUUAAAGGAAUUGGCGGGAAGGGCGAAUUC
This 877-nucleotide ribosomal RNA is filed under the name uncultured archaeon. RNAcentral's name for it is "bacterial SSU rRNA". It matches the Rfam family "Archaeal small subunit ribosomal RNA", at positions 1 to 885 of the family's 1478-position model. The record is from RNAcentral.